Molecule: unclassified non-coding RNA, 379 nt
Filed under: uncultured Gammaproteobacteria bacterium
Lineage: Bacteria; Pseudomonadati; Pseudomonadota; Gammaproteobacteria
Description: contains 16S-23S intergenic spacer region
Source: RNAcentral
UCCGGUUUGUCACCGGCAGUCCCAUUAGAGUCCCCGCCAUAACGCGCUGGCAACAUAAGACAAGGGUUGCGCUCGUUGCGGGACUUAACCCAACAUCUCACGACACGAGCUGACGACAGCCAUGCAGCACCUGUGUUCAGGUUCCCUUUCGGGCACCUCUGCAUUUCUGCAGAGUUCCUGACAUGUCAAGGGUAGGUAAGGUUUUUCGCGUUGCAUCGAAUUAAUCCACAUCAUCCACCGCUUGUGCGGGUCCCCGUCAAUUCCUUUGAGUUUUAAUCUUGCGACCGUACUCCCCAGGCGGUCAACUUCACGCGUUAGCUGCGGUACUGAGAAAUCGCUUCCCCAACACCUAGUUGACAUCGUUUAGGGCGUGGACUAC